AGAAAGCCGCUUGUCUUCCUGAUGAUGCUUAUCUCUUGGAAAAUAUGAAAGGAGCGAAACGCUAGAGCUUUCCGCAACACGGCCGUCCCGGUGAGAGUGUUGGUCGCCAGGAUAAAAAAGGAGUGCCAGCUUUGGAGCCUUGCGGGAGAAAAACAUUUGUGUAACAUUACGCCGCAGAGUGAUGUACUCUCUUAA
This 195-nucleotide ribosomal RNA is filed under the name Triticum aestivum (bread wheat). RNAcentral describes it as "partial small subunit ribosomal RNA". Lineage: Eukaryota; Viridiplantae; Streptophyta; Magnoliopsida; Poales; Poaceae. The record is from RNAcentral.